UGCAACGACUAUAUUAACAACUCAAACUAAAUUCAAUAAUUAUAACACUACUUCGAUCAUGAUGAUCCUUGUGAGGUUUACUCACCUUAUUUCCUGCAUGUAACUGCCAUGACACCAAAAUUAAUUUCCUCACUCGUUUCGUCGGUCACCUAAUAGCAUGAUAAAAUGUUUAGAAAACGAUACGUAAAAUAUCAGGUGACGAUUUCAUUACAGCUAAACACUGCUCGUGAUUUACUGUUCACAUAACACUAUUGACGAACAUUGUUCACAAUUACUGUUCAUGCGCUGCCACUAUUUUCCGACCACCACCAAUGACCACUACAUUUCAUCACCACAAUCUAAAUGACAUUCAUAACAACUUUUUAGUUCACCAUAAAGUUCAAUUUCGAGCCUAAACGCUUCAAUUUAACAAAAAUUGAAAAGCCCCAAUUUAAAACAUAUGAUUUCUUUUCUUCGAUUCUCUUAGCACAAAACGAUUUAGGUUAAAUGGUUUGGAGGGUUUGUAUUAUGGAAGGAGACCUUCAAAAUGGGACAAGAAUCUCACCGAUUGGUGGCCGGAAGAGGGAGAUCCGGCGAGGUGUAGUUCGACAAAAUGUGCUCUUUCAGGAGAACUUCUGGGCUUCACCGCUCCCAGACGGCGGCGAGAUGGCGGGUGACGUUGCCACCAAUCGACAAGGAACGCUACAACCUUUCAAACGGGACCGGUGCGCCACUCUAUGGUGGCCGGACGACGGAGAUCUGGCGGGCCAAAGUCGGCCGCUCGGGAGGGAAAAAUCUGGGUUUUUCGGGGGUGAACAGUGUUCCCCUAUUUAUACUAUUUUUCAAAAAUGUCCAAAUACCUUUUGAUUCGUAACUUAUUCAUACGAACUCCACUUUAGGCGUGCCGCAUGUCCACAAAUUCGUAUUGACGAACUCUACGAUUUUCAUGAAUGAAGUUUUCUGAUAUUCCUAACGGAUAAAAAGUCAACUCUUGACCCGUCACGGUAACGUUUCUGUGUAUAAAUCAAUCAAACACUUUUGUUUUCUCCCUCGUACUAUAUAAUCGGAUCACCACCAAUUUAAAUAUAUCCGAACAAUAAUUAUAAAAUAAUUAUAAAUUUCCGGGAUAUUACGGAUGAGGAAUGUAAGCGAAAUUAAAUAAAAUUAUAUUUGCAUAGUGUUAUUCAUUACUUUGUCCAUGCAUGAUUGUUUCUAUGCUAUUAUUUAUGUUUACUACAUUUUUGUUUUCGUUGUUAUUCAAUUACUUAACCACCUUUCUAUAUAAAAAUAAAUAAAAGUUAUCCCCUAUUUUGAGCUUAUGAGAGUGGAGUUGACUUAUUAACGUACAAUACUUCUUUCUAUUUAUAGGAACACUGCAAGGAAGAUAUUUCCCAAUUAAGAAAAGAAGUCAAAGGGUGAAUGCUGGUGUCAGGAGACGUGUUUCAUUGUAUUUAUCUGGUUGGCGGAAGGCAAAAUCAAAAAAAGAAUAUUAUCGAUGGUGUUUCAAUCUACUCAACUGGUCACUGCAAAAGAAUAUGGGUGUAAUUGAAUAUUGUUGAUCUAAGGAAAUUGAUUCUCAAAGAGUGGAACAAAAAGAAAGAAGAGCAGUAUGUAUUUUGCAUCUCCUUUCAAUUCAAAUAUAUAUUUGAAACAUAUUUAAUUGUAUUUGCAUGUGAAAACUACAGCUUGCGGUACGAAAAUGCUAAGGAGGAAGUGAAGACUUGCACAAGAUCUCAAAUCAAACAAACAUGGAAAAAAGUUUGGCGAAUUAGGAGAACAAUUCAUCAAGUGAACCAAAGUGUCCUAGAUAAGUUCUACAUCGAGCAUGAGAGGAAGAUGAAGCGUAUAGAGGAUCUGAAGUGUAUGAAAUAGUUCAAGCGCAUAGAGGUGUUGAAGCGUAUUCUUGAGGUAAGUAUGAGAUUAAUUGAUACAUAUACUAUACUUGAUCAAAUACUAUAAUGUCUAACAAUUUUUAUUUCAUACGUCUCCUCUUUGGAUAAUUGAAGUAAGAGUGUGGCAUUAAAUGAAUUAUCUAAAUGCAUGGUACGUGCUCUACUUAAUAAAAUUAUUUCAUUUCAUUUAUGGGCGACCAAGAUCACUUUCUUAUGUUCUAGCUACUCUACAUUUGUAGUCUGAGCAACGACUGUUAACAAACGGG
Long non-coding RNA from Argentina anserina (silverweed cinquefoil), 2137 nucleotides. RefSeq lists it as uncharacterized. The record is from RefSeq and is a predicted model, not a curated record. The transcript is spliced from 3 exons. Lineage: Eukaryota; Viridiplantae; Streptophyta; Magnoliopsida; Rosales; Rosaceae.